GUGCUCACUUCGGCAGCACGCACACUAAAAUUGUAACAAUACAGAGAUGACUAGCAUGGCCCCUGCAAGGACGACGUGCAAAUUCGUGAAGCAUACCAUAUUAAA
Molecule: small nuclear RNA, 105 nt
Organism: Gorilla gorilla gorilla (western lowland gorilla)
Lineage: Eukaryota; Metazoa; Chordata; Mammalia; Primates; Hominidae
Source: Rfam